This 647-nucleotide long non-coding RNA is filed under the name Homo sapiens (human). RNAcentral describes it as "HSALNT0335825". Lineage: Eukaryota; Metazoa; Chordata; Mammalia; Primates; Hominidae. The record is from RNAcentral.
UUUGAAUAUAAACCCGUAUUGAGAAUAACCAAUUAAUUUGAAACCAAACCAGACCUGACACAGAUGUUAGAAUUAGCCAACAAGUACAUUGAAAGCUAUUAUAAUUGUAUUCUAUGUGUUUAAAAAUUUAAGUGGAGACGGAAGAUAUAGCGAAGAGCCCAAUUAAACAUCUAGAGAUGCAAACCACAAUGUCUAAGGUGAAACUUUAUUAUAGGCUAAGAAUGAAGAAAUGUUGUCGGCCUAUCAAAAUGGAGUUACUGUUAACAAACAUUUAUGAAAAAUAUUCACCUCACUACAUCAAAGGUGCUAAAACAAUGUACCUGCAUUUAUCAGAAGAGGCUGAUGGACUACAUCCAUGGGGUACUUUGUCCUCUGGCUUCCAAUUAGAUUCAGACAACAGGAAGCAUCAACAGCUAAUGGGAGACGAAGAGGAAAAAUUGGGGUACCUAUUCCCCUAGAUUACUCCCUGCUGAUUGCUGCAGAGGGGCUUCAUCCUUGCCCUGGUUUCUGGAAAACACUCUUUCAUUGCCCAUGCAGGCCUAGGAGUGAUGAUGCCUCACUGGAUGGCAAAGUCUCUUAUUGGUUUCCCUAAAUCUUACUCACAACUUGUAGAUACUCCCUCUAUUAAAUCCUUUUCAGUUACCCAG